AGGCCAUAGAAGAAUUGGAGGGGGAUUCAGCCGUAGAACUUCCUUUUCCUAUUCUUCCUUUUCCUCUGCAACAGCCGUUGGCAACCCCUGAUUGCCGUCACUGCUGACGCGGUCACCCUCCUGAUUCCUGGUGUGACGGAUGCGAUGUGUUCCUGGCUGACCAGGAAACCAGGUGUUGCCAUCACAGCUGUGGCCCAAGCGUUGGAAGUGGAGGUGGCACAGAGGAAGCAGCUGCAGCAGUAGGUUUGGUGGCAAACUGCUCAACCAGGAAAAAACUUUUUGAACCCUUCGAACUCAAGAUGUCAUUCAGACGUUGCAAACGUGCAUGAAUGAAAAACAGAUGGAAAGUAUUUCCCGAAGCCUUCCACAUUCUCCUGGAGAAACUCUAGAGGCUAAAGAAAGAAAGAACAUUGAUCUGAAGCAAAUCUUAUUUUGAAGAGUAGAGGAGGAAUUCCUAGAAGAAGGAGGUACAUAAAUUCUCUUGCAAUCCCACAGUCUGGCAAGAUAAUUUUCAUUCAUUCUCCUUUAUUCGUUCAAUAUUAUUUAUUGUUCAACUCAGUGAAGCCUCAUUUAUCCAAAGUAAAUGAAUUGAGUAUCAUCAAAACUAUGGUUAAUAAACAAUGACCACCAGAAACCCACUCACUGUCCUUGUGCAUGCUGGGAACUGACAGUAAGGAGCCUAAGAUAAGGGAACAGCUUUAAAUCCAGCGUUGAUAGCCAAAAUACUAUCAGUCCUUAAUCCCCUUCUCCAGGGAUGCCUUUUGUAGUCUUUUUCCUCAAGACCC
This 785-nucleotide long non-coding RNA is filed under the name Ornithorhynchus anatinus (platypus). RNAcentral describes it as "lncRNA (ENSOANG00000038461.1)". Lineage: Eukaryota; Metazoa; Chordata; Mammalia; Monotremata; Ornithorhynchidae. The record is from RNAcentral.